This is a small nucleolar RNA of Saimiri boliviensis boliviensis (Bolivian squirrel monkey), 101 nucleotides long. RefSeq annotates it as small nucleolar RNA U13. The record is from RefSeq and is a predicted model, not a curated record. Lineage: Eukaryota; Metazoa; Chordata; Mammalia; Primates; Cebidae.
AUCCUUUUGUAGUUUAUAAGUAUGAUGAUGGGUGUUCAUGCUCCUGUGAGAUGUCUCCCCCUCUAAACCUUGUAACAACAUAGCACAUUACCCUUCUGAUG